AGAGUUUGAUCAUGGCUCAGAGCGAACGCUGGCGGCAGGCCUAACACAUGCAAGUCGAGCGCCCCGCAAGGGGAGCGGCAGACGGGAGAGUAACACGUGGGAACGUGCCCUUCAGUUCGGAACAACCCAGGGAAACUUGGGCUAAUACCGGAUACGUCCGUAAGGAGAAAGAUUUAUCGCUGAAGGAUCGGCCCGCGUCUGAUUAGCUAGUUGGUGGGGUAAUGGCCCACCAAGGCUACGAUCAGUAGCUGGUCUGAGAGGAUGAUCAGCCUCACUGGGACUGAGACACGGCCCAGACUCCUACGGGAGGCAGCAGUGGGGAAUAUUGGACAAUGGGCGCAAGCCUGAUCCAGCCAUGCCGCGUGGGUGAUGAAGGCCCUAGGGUUGUAAAGCCCUUUCGGCGGGGAAGAUAAUGACGGUACCCGCAGAAGAAGCCCCGGCUAACUUCGUGCCAGCAGCCGCGGUAAUACGAAGGGGGCUAGCGUUGCUCGGAAUCACUGGGCGUAAAGCGCACGUAGGCGGGUUGCUAAGUCGGGGGUGAAAUCCUGGAGCUCAACUCCAGAACUGCCUUCGAUACUGGCGACCUUGAGUCCGGGAGAGGUGAGUGGAACUGCGAGUGUAGAGGUGAAAUUCGUAGAUAUUCGCAAGAACACCAGUGGCGAAGGCGGCUCACUGGCCCGGUACUGACGCUGAUGUGCGAAAGCGUGGGGAGCAAACAGGAUUAGAUACCCCCGUAGUCC
Molecule: ribosomal RNA, 740 nt
Filed under: uncultured bacterium
Lineage: Bacteria
Description: bacterial SSU rRNA
Rfam family: Bacterial small subunit ribosomal RNA
Source: RNAcentral